This 484-nucleotide ribosomal RNA is filed under the name uncultured bacterium. Its description in RNAcentral is "partial 16S ribosomal RNA". It matches the Rfam family "Bacterial small subunit ribosomal RNA", at positions 28 to 507 of the family's 1533-position model. The record is from RNAcentral.
AUUGAACGCUGGCGGCAUGCUUUACACAUGCAAGUCGAACGGCAGCGCGGGCUUCGGCCUGGCGGCGAGUGGCGAACGGGUGAGUAAUGCAUCGGAACGUGCCCAGUAGUGGGGGAUAGCCCGGCGAAAGCCGGAUUAAUACCGCAUACGACCUGAGGGUGAAAGCGGGGGACCGAAAGGCCUCGCGCUAUUGGAGCGGCCGAUGUCGGAUUAGCUAGUUGGUGGGGUAAAGGCUUACCAAGCCGACGAUCCGUAGCUGGUCUGAGAGGACGACCAGCCACACUGGGACUGAGACACGGCCCAGACUCCUACGGGAGGCAGCAGUGGGGAAUGUUGGACAAUGGGGGCAACCCUGAUCCAGCCAUGCCGCGUGCGGGAAGAAGGCCUUCGGGUUGUAAACCGCUUUUGUUCGGGAAGAAAUCCUCUGGGCUAAUACCCCGGGGGGAUGACGGUACCGGAAGAAUAAGCACCGGCUAACUACGUG